UGUUCGUUGAUGAUUAUUACCCAGCAAACAUGCCUUUGAAAAGCUAGACAAAAUGAGUGAAUACUAUAAGACCUUUGUUCUUAUCGUGACUGAGGUCC
Perognathus longimembris pacificus (Pacific pocket mouse) is the source of this 98-nucleotide small nucleolar RNA. RefSeq annotates it as small nucleolar RNA SNORD116. The record is from RefSeq and is a predicted model, not a curated record. The transcript has a single exon. Lineage: Eukaryota; Metazoa; Chordata; Mammalia; Rodentia; Heteromyidae.